Molecule: unclassified non-coding RNA, 198 nt
Filed under: uncultured fungus
Lineage: Eukaryota; Fungi
Description: sequence contains ITS1, 5.8S rRNA gene
Source: RNAcentral
AUGAAUUUGGUCUCUGAACCAAUACAUCUGUGUGCAAUCACUGUUACGUCCCUGGUGGUGAAGGGCGGAUUCGGAGCUUGGUUCCGAGUCCCUUGGAUCCACCAACCCUUUGCAGGCUCGGCAUUCGUGCCGGGCUCUGUUGAUGAACAUAAUGUUAAUUUUAUCUGUCUGAUUCUUUCACAUCUGUGAAUCAUAAAA